This is a ribosomal RNA of 1534 nucleotides. It matches the Rfam family "Archaeal large subunit ribosomal RNA", at positions 13 to 1212 of the family's 2987-position model.
AGUAAGGUUAUAUGGUGGAUGGCUUGGCUCAAACACCGACGAAGGAGGUGGCAAGCUGCCAUAAGCCUGGGGUAGCCGCAUGCAGGUUUUGAACCCAGGAUCUCCGAAUAACCGACUGCUAACACAGAAUAUAGACGGCUUUGCUAUUGAAGCGGUCUAUUGGCAGAGUUGGCCGUCGGUGCGGACAGGACUUCCUGCCCAUUUGGGCGUUCCUGCCUUUUAGGUAGGAACGGGGACCCCGGGAAUUGAAACAUCUUAGUACCGGGAGGAAAAGAGACCAACAGGCAUUCCCUGAGUAGGGGCGACCGAAAAGGGAGAAGAACAAACCGAACCUCUCCAGAAAUGGAAGAGGAAUGUGGGGUUUGGACUUGGGCUUAGCCUAACUUUCUGACCUGAAGUCAGCUGGAACGCUGUGCCAUAGAGGGUGAUAGCCCCGUAAGGGAAAGAAAGAAGGUUAAUACCAAGUUUCCAGAGUACUGCUCCUUGAAGAUGGAGUGGAAAGGUGGGAGACAACAACUCCCAAUUCUAAAUAUUGUUUGAGACCGAUAGCGCACUAGUACCGUGAGGGAAAGCUGAAAAGAACCCUUAGCAGGGGGUGAAAAGAGCCUGAAACCAUAUAACCACAGGUGGAUAUGGCUUGUUUACCCUUUCGAAGGACAAAGAAAGAUUCACGCUUCUUUAGAAGCGUGUUUUCGUCCAGUCUGCAAAGAUUAUACGAAGAAAGGGGUUUCAAGUCAUAUCGUCAGUUUUGAAACACUUGGCAAGGAGUUUAUCUCUGUGGCGAGGUUAAGGUUUCCGGAGCCAGAGCGAAAGCGAAACUCCCGCAGACCCUUUAAACGGAGCUUGCUUUGCAUAUUUCUUUGAGAAAGCAACUUCCGUAAAGAAAGGUUCAGGGGAGUGGGUAUGAAAGUGCCCAAGUCACAGGGAUAAGACCAGAAACCGGUCGAUCUAGCCCUGGGCAGAGUGAAGUCUGGUGAAAACCAGAUGGAGGCUCGUUACCGUUGCUGGGAUUCAAACCGCUCGGGUGACCUGGGGCUAGGGGUGAAAACGGAUUGGCGACUUGAUUAAAGAGACAAUGUCGUCUUUCCCUUCGAAGCUAAACGAGACCGGUGAUAGCUGGUUCCUCCCGAAAGACCCUUUUACAGGAGGCUUAUGCUUCCUCAAAAGCGUCUACGGAAAAUCUGUAAAGGGGUUCCGGGAUAUGAGUCGCAGCUCAGCCUUGCUGGAGGCAGGUAAGGGGGUAGAGCUACUGAUUAGAUAACCAAGGGGAGAAAAUAAAGACCUUUUUGGUUUUUAAUCUCAAUCCCCAGUUAUCUUGUCAAACUCAGAAUCCCUUACCGCCGUAGAAGGCAGGAGUGAGGGUACGGGAUAAGCUCGAUAUCCGAAAGGUAGAGAAACCAGUUCAGGGUUAAGGUCCCAAAAAUCGAUGGACGUUCCUUUGGAAUGUCUUUCGAAUGGAAUGCAUGUUAAGUGAGGAAGGGUGUCUUCAACCCCAGACAGUGGGGAGGUUGGCUUAGAAGCAGCCAUCCUUUAA